UGCAAAGUUUCACAACAACAGUUUUUCAGAGUGAGGAAUGUGAAAACAGAUUGUACAGUGAGCAGGCACGCAGAAUACAAAUGAGGAUUAACUGACGUGAAUAAUUUGGAGUUGAGGAAAUUCAGAGAAAGUCUUCAGCAAAUUCUUCAAACAGUAGCAGUGAAAGUCAUCAACACAUAAUACGAGGAAAGUAAGGAGUUGAGGAAUUAUAACCGGUUUCUCAGUGAAGACAGUCGUUGAUGACCCAGUUCCAACUGCUGUGACAGUCGUACAUCUGGUUUGGAGCGGCUUGGUAUUGAAACCAAAGGACACACAGUCCCGGGACACACAGUCCCUACCGUGUUCUCCUUGGGCUAAGAACACACAGUCCUCGCCCAACACUCGUGGUAAGUCUUCAGGGCAGACUUCCAAACCCUCACAAACUUGGUCACCCGGCGAUCCACAAUUGACUGCUGGAAAGCUCUAGACCAUGACGCCUAACCGUCUGGAGGAUGCACAGUCCUCAAAGGUAAAAGGCUUCAGUCCCACACA
Molecule: long non-coding RNA, 531 nt
Filed under: Hordeum vulgare
Lineage: Eukaryota; Viridiplantae; Streptophyta; Magnoliopsida; Poales; Poaceae
Description: long non-coding RNA (HVUL_LNC017498)
Source: RNAcentral